This 232-nucleotide ribosomal RNA is filed under the name uncultured bacterium. RNAcentral's name for it is "partial 16S ribosomal RNA". It matches the Rfam family "Bacterial small subunit ribosomal RNA", at positions 524 to 756 of the family's 1533-position model. The record is from RNAcentral.
UACAGAGGUCUCAAGCGUUGUUCGGAUUCAUUGGGCGUAAAGGGUGCGUAGGUGGCGUCGUAAGUCGGGUGUGAAAUUUCGGAGCUUAACUCCGAAACUGCAUUCGAUACUGCGGUGCUUGAGGACUGGAGAGGAGACUGGAAUUUACGGUGUAGCAGUGAAAUGCGUAGAGAUCGUAAGGAAGACCAGUGGCGAAGGCGGGUCUCUGACAGUUCCUGACACUGAGGCACGA